UCUCCUGCACGUUGUGCUUCCCCAAAGACGACGCCGUUUCCGACUUCGUUAGGGUUUCAUGGAUUUUAUUCAUCGCUUGAUUUUGUGAGGAGGGUGCAUUCAUGGCGAAAUCUUCUCUUCUCGGCGUUCUCGCCUUUCAAUUUUCACGAACCGAACAAGAAUCCAAGGGUACACCCGAGUCAAUACCGCCAUUAAAGAUUUGGUCGUAGGGUUCUCGGUUCAUUUCUGUAUUUCCAGUCUGUUACUGUGUUUUUUAGGUAAUUUAUUUCUCUUUCGCAUUAUUGUAUCUUAACGAUGCAUUCUGCUCACCUGCGCAAUAGGCAAAUUUCAAUCUGUAAAGUUAUCGCAAAUCCAUCUUCUGCGUUUGAUUCGCUGCCCAAAAUUCAGCUAUUGUUUGGCAUUAGCUCGUUCAAUGGGAAAACGCAGAUCGAGGGUUUUUGUAAUAUUGUAAAUGUAGAGGAAUCCAAAGCUGAGAAAGAGAAAUCGUUCAAUGCAUCCUACUUGGUCCAUUCAUAUGGUAUGUCUCCAGAGCAUGCUGCUCAUGCUUUCCAGAGAAUCGGCUUUGCAGGGAGACCUGAAUCUGUGUUAGCCCUAUUAGAGCGACAGGGAUUUAGUAAAGCGCAGAUUGCCACACUUGUGAGGGCAAAGCCUGAAGUUCUUGCUCUCCGUGAAAAGACACUUGCUCCUAAGAUUGAAUUUCUCCAGUCUACUGGGAUAUCGAAGGCUGCCAUUACAAUGAUUGUCUCCAAAAACCCUAGUAUGCUAUGCAGAAGCUUGAAGAAUGGAAUUAUACCUAAUUAUUUUUUCUUCAAGAGUUUGCUUGGUACUGAUGAAAAGGUAGCCUCUGCAAUGAGGAGGACCUCAAGGAUUUUCAAUUCCAAUGUUGACAAGAUUCUAGCUCCAAAUGUUGAGAUCUUAAGGGACCUCAAUGUGCCAGAAGCUAAUGUCCGAUAUUUAUUAACACAAUUUCCAGAGACUAUUAUGCAAACUGUGAGUGCGUUCAAAAAGACUGUUUCUAAGGUGUUAGAAUUUGGGUUUGAUCCUGCAAAAUCGACGUUUGGGUUGGCUCUACAUGCAUUUUCAGGAACUUCUAAUCAAGCGACCUGGGAACGGUGUUAUGAGACAUAUAGUAACUUGGGUUGGUCAAAAGAUGAUAUCUACAUGGCAUUUAGGAAGCAACCUUUUUGCAUGAUCUUGUCCCGAAAGAAAAUCUCUGGAGCUAUGGACUUUUACUUAAACACCAUGGGGUUAACAUCAAGAUCAAUUGCAAGCUACCCAAAUUUUCUCCUAUACAGUUUGGAGAAAAGAAUUAUCCCUCGGUGCUCUGUCAUUCAGCAAUUGUUGUCAAGGGGUAUACUUAGAAAGAAAUACAGCUUGGCUACAGUGCUGCAAAGGUCUGAUAAAUGGUUUCUGGAAAGCUAUGUGCUUAAAUAUGAGAAGGAAUUGCCUGGUCUCCAAGAUUUCUACCUAGGGAAGGUUGGCGUGGAUGGAUUGCCACCCCCAAAAGCAUAAUUUUGAUCGGUGCCUUCCUAGGGAGUUAUAGGUUGUAGUACAUACAUUGCAGUUCUGCUUCAAUAAUGACCAUCCUUUUAGAUUAAUCUCUCUGCUUGAGACCAACUUUUUCGUACAUGGUUCUUUGGUGAAUAAGAAGAACAUAUUACCAACUAGUUUGAUGUGGAAACUCAAUUAUCCUCCUUUUCCAGCAAUGAGGGACAAGACUCCGGUGUUGGACUUUACUGAACAUUGCUUCGGCCACCCACUCGACCUACCCCAACAUAAGACAGAAGAUGAACCUACCAUAUCGGUUCCCCCUCUAUUCCCAACAGUUGUGUCAUGAAUCGAACAACAGAUGGUCACAUUUGUAUCAAUCUCAUAACCAUGGACAAAAUAAGUGAACACAGACCCCGAAAUCGGUUUAAAGUUGCAAGAUAAUUCCUAAUUGAUGAUACAAUCAUUAAACUGAGGGAUUUGUACGACAUGAUUAGCCUGAGGCAGUUGGAUGAUUCUCCAAAAUUUUGGGUGGAAUUUGAAACAGAUUGAUUCCAGUCUCUUAUGACUUGAGAUUGUAUUGAAAUGAAUUCAGUGCUGAGCUUAUAUUUGAUACUGAAGCUCUGAGAAGAACUCUUAAUGUUUGUUCCAUUGAUGCUUCAGUAUCUGCAGAACUUCAUGUUGUCACAUUGAAAAUACAUUGCCCAAUAAGUUUCUACCGCAACUGAACCUUGUUAAUUCUUUAGAUGUCCAUGGCUGUCAUUCAAAUUGAUGAAAUUGAAGUGAGCUCUGAAGCUUAAAGUUUGGUUUAUAUAAUAAAUUUUAUUAUUCUCAUUAUUCUAUUACAUUUAUACUCUCAUCGUGGAAAUAAUAUGAUCAGCCCUCCAGAAUUAAGGAAAAGAAGCAGACAUAGAGACGGUCUUAGUAAAACACAGAUUGUCAAUCUUGUGAGGAAAAGAUCUGAAAUUCUUGCAGUCGGUGAAAAGGUAACAGCUCCCAAGUUUAGAUUUUCCAGAGCCCAUGAUUCAAAAUGUGUAGGAGUUCAAUGUAGCUGCUUCCAAAGUGUUCGGCAAGAGAUUUGAUCCUUGGUGAUAAAUGUUGGUGGCCCUUAAGAGUAACUGCUUAGAAGCUGUUUCAGGAUGAGGCCUUAAUCAAGUGACUUGGGCAUGGGAUGAUAUAUCCAUUCGACAUUUAGGUAAGUAUCUAAAUUGCAUGAUCUUGUCGGGGGUGAUCUUCAGAACCAGGUUCUCUCUUAAAACUCUGCAAGUUUGAAUACCAGGUCAAUUUCUAGAUCCUCACCUUCAGAAAUUUUCUGCAUUCAUGCAUGAUCAAUAUUCUCACCUACAUUGGCUGCUUUUCCUUUGAUUUGGUCAUUUGGUUGUUGAAAGCUUUAUCUGUGUUAUGGUCAUUAAUUUGUGUCUAGAAUUAAAUUGCCUGCAGGAGCAGCCUCUGGACCAUGAAGCUGCUUGCGUUACUAAUCGACACAAGAAGCAGGUAAUAUGUUAGAUGUAUAUAGUAAUAGUAAUGAUUUGUGAUAUUUUGUAGUUUGAUUA
This is an RNA transcript of Andrographis paniculata, 3041 nucleotides long. It is a transcript of the gene named transcription termination factor MTERF4, chloroplastic-like, with no coding region annotated. The record is from RefSeq and is a predicted model, not a curated record. The transcript is spliced from 3 exons. NCBI's taxonomy places the organism in Eukaryota, Viridiplantae, Streptophyta, Magnoliopsida, Lamiales, Acanthaceae.